GAAAAAUAUCUGUUUAUGUAGCAAUGCGAGCAAAGGAUUCGAGGCUUAUGAAAAAAUUGAAAAAUUUGCAGAAAGGGGAUGCCUCUUGAGAUUGAUCGAGAGCCGUUCACAGAGUCAACAGUGUUAGGAAUUUGAUCUAGGAUUUAUAUAAUCUAGGAAUUUUUCUCUCGGUCAUUUCCUAAAAUAUCUUAAUUCUUUCUCUCAUACGAGUUCAUAGCACCAUAUUAUAUAUCUGAUAAAGUUUCUUUUGUACAAUGGAAUCACAAGGUUGUUAAUUCAAGACAAUGGCCUCUGAUUUCUCGUUAUCGGGCUGCUGUUCAAACUCAGUCACCAAAACUUGAAAUGAUAGAUUCCUUGUUUAAGCUAGUGGAAGUUACAAAGGAUCAGAAACAUAUUUUUCAAUUAAUGAGGGGGAAGACUUCGGAUCAUUUUUUAGAGUCAAGAACAAGAAAGAGAGAAUAUCAAUGCAUGGAGGGCUUCUCUAACAGCGGACAUGUGGA
Molecule: long non-coding RNA, 500 nt
Filed under: Olea europaea subsp. europaea
Lineage: Eukaryota; Viridiplantae; Streptophyta; Magnoliopsida; Lamiales; Oleaceae
Source: RNAcentral